GCGCAAAAAGCUGCCAUGCAGCCCACUAAUCUAGGCUGAUCUGCGAGCGACAUGUGUGAAAAUGCGACCAACAAACGUGUGGCAUAGACAACAUCUAGAUGUUCGCGGACACGCCCCACCUUUACAAGCUGCUCCGCAACCACCUGCUUAACGACGGCCUGCGCCUUCCCAACGGCGGUCGAAUUAAUAAACAGCUGUUCGCUUACGUGUUGGCCAUUGACGGCGACAAGGAGUUAAGGAUCCUUCCCAAGCUUGGCGUGGAAAGCCAUCUGGAGGACUGGACUGGACAGACCGGACAGCAACGUCAGGGAGUUCGCCCAGCCGUCCAAAUCCUCAGCGAGUCCGUAGCGACAGCUAUCGACACCUUUACGAACCGGCAUGAAGAGGCGCAGUACCUACGCGUGUUUGACCACGGCUUCGACGCCCUUAACGGGCAGUGUCCCACAGACUUGAAAGAGCUCCGCCGUGGCAUGAACCCUGACAGUGCGGCACACUACACGGCGCUGGCUGACAUGGAGGCGGCCAUGUUGCUGACGUUUGGCGAGAAAACUUCGCUCCUGCCGUUCCAGAAAGGACCCAUCGUCACUGUCAAGUCCAUGCGGGGUCUUGUGGGUGACCUUGUGUCUGUCCUUGGCCCGGAUACCUACGUCAUGCCGGGCCGAGUAAAUCAAGAUAUUCUUGAAUCGUA
This is a long non-coding RNA of Pollicipes pollicipes, 688 nucleotides long. RefSeq lists it as uncharacterized. NCBI's taxonomy places the organism in Eukaryota, Metazoa, Arthropoda, Thecostraca, Pollicipedomorpha, Pollicipedidae. The transcript is spliced from 3 exons. The record is from RefSeq and is a predicted model, not a curated record.